AAAGGGUGCGUAGGCGGCCUGUUAAGUCAGAGGUGAAAGACGGUAGCUCAACUAUCGCAGUGCCUUUGAUACUGAUGGGCUUGAAUGGACUAGAGGUAGGCGGAAUGAGACAAGUAGCGGUGAAAUGCAUAGAUAUGUCUCAGAACACCGAUUGCGAAGGCAGCUUACUAUGGUUUUAUUGACGCUGAGGCACGAAAGCGUGGGGAUCAAACAGGAUUACAUACCCGAGU
RNAcentral lists this ribosomal RNA (230 nucleotides) under uncultured bacterium. RNAcentral describes it as "partial 16S ribosomal RNA". It matches the Rfam family "Bacterial small subunit ribosomal RNA", at positions 562 to 791 of the family's 1533-position model. The record is from RNAcentral.